CAUGGAUCGGAAGGGCCAGCAGGCUACCUUAGAAGUUACUCAAGGAUCUCCUCGGAAAGCACACCUCUUUAAUCCAACUGUGAAGCAACAGGGGGACAGGACGCCAGGCUUUUCCUUCCUCUCACAACGUUCUGCUUGAUCAACUCGACACCUUACGUGGAGGCGGCGUGGCUCAACACCUGCACCUGUGAGGACUUUGUAGCGCGUGAACCCUGC
This 216-nucleotide long non-coding RNA is filed under the name Camelus dromedarius (Arabian camel). RNAcentral describes it as "lncRNA (ENSCDRG00005015154.1)". The record is from RNAcentral. Lineage: Eukaryota; Metazoa; Chordata; Mammalia; Artiodactyla; Camelidae.